UAUGAAGGGGGCUAGCGUUGCUCGGAAUCACUGGGCGUAAAGGGCGCGUAGGCGGCUCUUUAAGUCAGGGGUGAAAUCCUGGAGCUCAACUCCAGAACUGCCUUUGAUACUGAAGAUCUUGAGUUCGGGAGAGGUGAGUGGAACUGCGAGUGUAGAGGUGAAAUUCGUAGAUAUUCGCAAGAACACCAGUGGCGAAGGCGGCUCACUGGCCCGAUACUGACGCUGAGGCACGAAAGCGUGGGGAGCAAACAGG
This 253-nucleotide ribosomal RNA is filed under the name uncultured bacterium. RNAcentral describes it as "partial 16S ribosomal RNA". It matches the Rfam family "Bacterial small subunit ribosomal RNA", at positions 524 to 776 of the family's 1533-position model. The record is from RNAcentral.